UUCACCAUGUUGGCCAGGAUGGUCUCGAUCUCUUGACCUUGUGAUCUGCCUGCCUUGGCCUCCCAAAGUGCUGGGAUUAUAGGUGUGAGCCACUGUGCCUGGCAAAAAUUUUAAUUUUUUUUACCCUAAGUCAUAAGUACUUAUGCUCUCAAAUUUUAGAAAGGUUAAUAUCAAAGACUGGAAAUGUCCCUUUUCCACCAGACUUUCAAGGCUCUUAGAGUCACUGUGCAUUCAAUCCAGUCUCCUUAGCUAUCCUUGUCUAUUUCUUAAGUUCUUAUAAUCAUGUGAUGACUAAGACCAGAUCCUGAAUUUCAAGAAUAAGAAAACAGAAUUGUUUAUGAAAGCCAUUCAACCAAGGUUUUCUGGCUGUACUUUGGCUAAUUAGAAUACCCCAUCUAUGAAUGUUCCAGUUUUUUUUUUUUUAAAAAAACUUUGUUAAGUUCAAAGUAGUUGGGGGAUAGAUGAAAAUACAUUCGGCAAAGCAGGUGUAAUUUACUGCUUACUGUAGAAUCUAGGUAGUGGGUAUAUGGAUGUUCCACUUUAAGCUACAUUUAACAUUCUUUUCAUAGUAAUGAUUUUUAUAAUAAAGUGUUAAAGAAAAUAGAGUUGGGAAAAAUCAAGGCUAUUUUACUGGUUCACUCCAACAUUAUAUAUAAUUUGAAUAUUUGCUAAUUUUUUUUGCUAAUAAUUCUAAAAGCUCACUUAUAUGUAGCAUACAGCACAAAUAAGUUGAUCUUAUGAGGUUGUAAACUUUGAAUCUCCUGAAUGUUUUUCUCUGCAUUUUCAAGUAGGUUCGUUAGUUGGUUAUAACAUCUAAAAAAUUAGAACUCUAGUUAAUGACAGAAAUACCAAAGCCAUUGUAAACAAGAGCUGAAAGAUGAGAGAAAUGAUAAUGUAAUUAAGCACUGGCUUAUUUGGGAAACGUGACAGAUAACAUUUAGUGUUAAUGUUGACACAAAUAUUAAUUCUUUUUUUUUUUUUUUUUUAAAGACAGGGUUUCACCAUGUUGGUCAGGCUGGUCUUGAACUCCCGACCUCAGGAGAUCCGCCCGCCUUGGCCUCCAAAGUGCUUGGAUUACAGGCGUGAGCCACAGUGCCCGGCAUAUUAAUUCUUGAGAAUAAUUAGAGAAGGGCGAAGACGUAAGUGGAGAUUAUAAAGAUUCUGAAAAAGGCUUGGUUCGGUGGCUCAUGCCUAUAAUCCCAGAACUUUGGGAGGCAAAGGCAGGAGGAUCACUUGAGGCCAGGCAUUGAAGACCACCUGGGCAACAUUAGUGAGACUCUCCAUCUCUACAAAACAAAGAUUCUGGAAGGGAUUUAUAAUGGUCCCUCGUUUGGGAAGAGAGUUAAAGAAAUGAAAGUGGAAUAACUGCAAGCAGUGAAAGGAAAUGUGUUUAUGACACAUCGCCAGGCACAGUGGUGUGUGCUGGUCCCAAUUACUUGGGAAGCUGAGGCGGAGGAUGGCUUGAGUCCAGGAGUUUGGGGCUGUACUGUGCUAUGCCAAUUAGGGGUCCACACUAAGUUUGACAUCAAUAUGAUGACCUUCCUGGAAGGGGGGGCACCAGGUUUAGUAAUGAGGGGUAAACUGGCCCGGGUUAGAAACAGAGCAGGUCAAAACUCCUGUGCUGAUCAGUAGUGGGAUCAUGCCUGCGAAUAGCCACUGCACUCCCAUCUGGGCAACACAGCAAGACCCUGUCUUAUAAAAAAAUAAUAAAAAAGAGAUGCAUGUCCUCAGGAAAGAAAGGGGCUGAUUGAGGGCUACUUAAGGCUGAAGUGACUAGGGAGUAAAGGGUAAGGCAGUGUGCAACUCUUAACCUUUCACUGGUUCCUGCCUUUUAAAGCCUUUAAUGCUGAAUUAACACCAGUGGAGUAAAUGAGAUGCUAAAAGCAUUGUUUGAAAUUAUCCCUUAAGUGAUGUAGUUCCACUUUCUAUGACAGACACUGAAACUACAAUCUUUUGGUCAAAAUAAAGGGUGAGGCCGGGCGUGGUGGCUCACGCCUGUAAUCCCAGCACUUUGGGAGGCCGAGGCGGGUGGAUCACCUAAGGUCUGGAGUUCGAGACCAGCCUGACCAACAUGGCGAAACCCUGUCUAAAAAAAAAAAAAAAAAAAAAAAAAGUGUGGAUGAGGUGUGAUCACAAAAACCUCAAAUGAGUUAUCAGUUAUAUUUGACCACUGACAGGUAGCUUAGAGCUUUAUAUAAAGGACUAUUUGAACUAUAAAAUUUUCAUCCAUGUUUUUAAGUGGCAUUAAAAAAAAAUCCCAUUUAAUAGGAUAUAUAGUAUGAGUAAGAAAUUAUAAAGUGUAAAACAAUAUAAAAAUUGCUAUUUAUAGAAUGUAAAGAAUUUAUAUAGUCAUGCACUGCAUAACAACAUUGAGGUCAACAAUGGACCACAUAUAUGAUGGUGGUCCCAAAAUAUUCUAAUGGAGAACAUAUAGAAAUCUGAUAUAUGGCACUUAAUGUGGCACUGCAGAUCAAGUCAUGGAAAUAUCACCAUUACUGCUAUUCAGUAAUGGUGCUGGGACAUUUGGAUUUCUGUAUGAAAAAAUAUAUGUACAUAAAAAUAUGCAUACCAUCUAGAUUUGUGUAAGUACACCUUAUGUUUGCACAACAGAAUCACCUAAUGAUGUGUUUCUCAGAAUGUAUCCUGUCAUUAAGUGAUGUGUGACUAUAUCCAAUAAAAACUGUAAUGAAUAUCCUAA
This is a long non-coding RNA of Cebus imitator (Panamanian white-faced capuchin), 2698 nucleotides long. RefSeq lists it as uncharacterized. The record is from RefSeq and is a predicted model, not a curated record. NCBI's taxonomy places the organism in Eukaryota, Metazoa, Chordata, Mammalia, Primates, Cebidae. The transcript is spliced from 2 exons.